AAGACUAUAGACCUGCGGAGUACCUGCGGAAGGAUCAUUAAAGAGAAAACUGCCCUUUGGGUAGAUCUCCCACCCUUUGUUUACCUUACCUUUGUUGCUUUGGCAGGCCCGUCUUCUGACCACCGGCUUUUAGCUGGUCCGUGCCUGCCAGAGGACCCCCAACUCUUGAUUUCAAGUUGUCCGAGUCUUAUAUAAUAGUAAAAACUUUCAGCAACGGAUCUCUAGAUCGGAAGAGCACAC
RNAcentral lists this unclassified non-coding RNA (240 nucleotides) under soil metagenome. RNAcentral's name for it is "partial contains 5.8S ribosomal RNA, internal transcribed spacer 2, and large subunit ribosomal RNA". The record is from RNAcentral.